GGAGAAAGGAUAAAUGAACCAUGUCAUGCCCACACAAUGGAAUACUCGACAGCAAUGAAGACGAACAACAGUGUCACGCAUCAACGCAGAUGUACCUCCCAACAAUACUGUGAGAGAAAAAGGCAAGUCACCAAAGAACACGUAUGUAUGAGGCCAUUCAAAUAGCUCUUCUGGAUUUCACUCCUGGGGAUGUCAAGGACCCACUAGAGUUUCCAAGCCAUGUUCACAUGUCACCUCCUUGACUAAAGGGACAUGACCAAUAAAUGCAAUGUGGGGUCCUGAACUGGAUCCUAGAGCAGGACAGAAAUAGCUAUAAAGGACAUUCUUGGGACAAUUGACGUUUAGAUAUGGAUUGUGGGGUUCGAUCAUAGUAUCAUAUCAAUGCAAAUUGUCCUAGCUCUGAUAAGCAUAUGUGUUUAUGUAAGAGAAUGUCCUUGUUUUUAGGGAACAAACACUGAAAUAUACAAUAGUAGAGAGGCAUCAUGUCUCCACCAUACUCUCAGAUGGUUCAGGAGAAAUAUGCGUGUGUCUCCGUACAUAUUAAUAUAGAGAGAAUGGUACAGCCAGUGGGACAAGUUGUAAGCAAUUGGUGAAUCUAGGUAAAGGGUAUAUGGGAAAUUGCAUCAAAAUUAAAAGUUAUGAACAUGGGGGAGAAAACCCAGUUCUUCUAUAAAAACAGCCUCCAGCCUCUCCCUCCAGCACAACCUGUCCCCACACGUGGGGCACCCGGCACCCAUGCUCUGGCUCUUGUCUCUCUGGGUCUUAGUCCCACUUAGCACCCCACACCCAAAGGUCAUGUUUUCACAGAUGUGUACCCUCAAGACUAAACACACACUUGAGGCAUUCAUGUGACUAUACAUAUUUAUGGAAAAAGAAAAUUCUUGGGCUCACAAAACUGAACGCUCCAGGGUGGACUGUCUCAGGUGGCCUUAAUCGGGGUGCUGACAACAUCCAGACGAGCACGCAGGCUUCUCUCCCUGCCACGGCGGUGCCAUUCUCCAACGGACUCUGCCGCCGUGGCUGCAAGAUGGUGGCAGCAGCUCCAACCCCUGCACCCUUUUGUGGCCAAGUCCAGUGGGAAGAAUGUGAGGUCUUCUUCCAGAAGCUUCUGCAGAUUCUCAUUAGCUUCAGCUGGGUCAUGUGUCUGUCAUCCCUGACCUGGCCUCUGGGGUCAGGAAGGCACCAUGGUCAGACUGGCCAGGCCUGAGCCCCAAGCCCCAAGUCCAACCUCUUCACAAAGCACAGCUGGCUGGGGCAGAGCGGUGCCCCCAGUGGAAAAUCAAGAUGCAGUUUCAGAAGGAUGGAAAUGGAUGCUGGGUGGCGAAACGGCAGAAACCCACCCCGGCCCACGCCCUUGCCUGUCCAAAAUCCAUGCACAUGCUUCUUCCCAUGCUCCCUCUGGGGGAGGUGUGCUAGGCAGCACAGAUGUAUGCACAGCUCCCCACAGAUGCCACCCUCAUCCUUGGAAACUGUCAAUGCCCAUGAAUUUGUUACCUCACGUAGCAAAAGAGACUUUGCAGAUGUAAUUAAGGCUGCUCGUCAGUUGACCUUAAAAUAGGGAGAGUGUCUUGGAUCAUCCACAUGGGCUCAGUGGGUCACACAAGCCCUUAAAAGCAGAGAACUUUCCAUGGCUGGUGGCAGAGGUAGAAAGGACAUUGGAAAGAGACAGCAUGGGGGAAAGGGAGAUUUAAAGCUUGGGAAGGAAGGAUGGAAAGCGCGACUGCUGCUUUGAAAACAAAGGAAGCCUCAGGCCACGUAGCAAAGAAAUGGAGACCCCAGGCCUGCAAUCAUAAGCGACUGAAUUCUGCUCACAACCCUAAUGAGCACCUCCGGGAAAGAGCCCAGCCUGCCAACACCUCGAUUUUGCCUUGUAAGCCCCUAAGCAGAAAAUACAGUUGAGGCACUCUCUGCCCAGACUUGCAGUGCACAGAAACUGUGAUGCUAAAUGGAUGUUGCUUGAAGCUGCUCAGUUGGUGGCACUUUGUUACAGCAGCAAUGGAAAAUGAAUACUGGAGGUAACACUGUCUCUCCCAGUGACAGGUCCGGCUCCAGGAGCUGGACCCCAGUGACCGUGUUACAGUCUAGGCUUAAGGCCCCCCUCACUCCCAACCUCACCUGUGCAGAGAGGGAAGGAAAAGUGCCAUGUCAACCCCCAGUAAGGGAAAGGAGGAUGGGAGACCCCUAGCCUGCAGCACAUCCAAAGCCCUGCUAGAAAAAUACUGAGAAAUGUUAGACAUUGAGCUACCACAGGACCCAGGAUUACAACUCCUGGGUAUCUACCCAAGGCAAAUGAAAACAUGUGUCCCCAGAAAAAUUUGCACACAAUGUUCAUAGCAGCAUUAUUUAUAAUAAUUGAGAAAUGGGAAUAGCCCAAAUGCCCAUCAGCUAAUGAAUAGAUAAACAAAAUAUGGCAUAGCUAUACAAUGGAAUAUUAUAUGGCCCUAAAAAGUAAUGAAGAAGCCAGACAUAAAAGGCUUUGUGUGAUUCCAUUUCCAGACAGAAAGCAGAUUAGUAGUUGCUGCAGGCUGGCGGGAGGGAGGAAUGGAAAGUGGCUGCUAACAGGAACACGGUUUAUUCUGGGGGCAAUGAAAGUGUUCUAAACUUAGAUGUGAUGAUGGAUGUACAACUGCGUGAAUAUACUAAAAAGCAUUGAAUGGCAUUGAAUGGUUCAUCUUAAAUGGGUGAAUUUUAUAGUGCGUGAAUUAUAUAGAUAAAGAUGUAAAAGAUUUGUUUAACAUCAAUAAAGAUGUAA
RNAcentral lists this long non-coding RNA (2752 nucleotides) under Homo sapiens (human). Its description in RNAcentral is "non-protein coding GATA2-AS1:20". The record is from RNAcentral. Lineage: Eukaryota; Metazoa; Chordata; Mammalia; Primates; Hominidae.